CAGCAGCCGCGGGAAUACGAAGGGUGCAAGCGUUAAUCGGAAUUACUGGGCGUAAAGGGUGCGUAGGCGGUGAGUUAAGUCUGUUGUGAAAUACCCGGGCUCAACCUGGGAAUGGCAAUGGAUACUGGCUCGCUAGAGUGUGAUAGAGGAUGGUGGAAUUCCCGGUGUAGCGGUGGAAUGCGUAGAGAUCGGGAGGAACAUCAGUGGCGAAGGCGGCCAUCUGGAUCAACACUGACGCUGAAGCACGAAAGCGUGGGGAGCAAACAGGAUUAGAUACCCCAGUAGUCCCUGUCUCUUAUAC
This 301-nucleotide ribosomal RNA is filed under the name uncultured bacterium. RNAcentral describes it as "partial 16S ribosomal RNA". It matches the Rfam family "Bacterial small subunit ribosomal RNA", at positions 509 to 807 of the family's 1533-position model. The record is from RNAcentral.